This 576-nucleotide long non-coding RNA is filed under the name Anser cygnoides (Swan goose). Its description in RNAcentral is "lncRNA (ENSACDG00005002536.1)". Lineage: Eukaryota; Metazoa; Chordata; Aves; Anseriformes; Anatidae. The record is from RNAcentral.
AUGAAAAUCUUACAGAGUUCACAAAGCCAACUGGUUGAGAUGGCUGAGAUGUUAUGGCUCAUGUGCUGCAAUCUCAUUCUCUUUUCACUUGAAAGACGUAAUCAGACAAAAAUCCCUUCAAAACCAGUUUCACUGAAGAAAAAACCUAGGCAGGAGAAGCAAAUGUAUGAGAUUGCAGUAGUGACCGCUACACUAUUCCCCGUGUAUAUGAAACUCCAGAGAUAACUGUUUUCAUCUGGCAAAAUUAAGACUGUGAAAUCAUCUUGGAAUACAGAGCGUUGCUUUGGUUGAUGCUGUACUGGUUAUUGGGUGUGCACAGAGCAGAUGCCAUCUCAGGCAAAAUUAAAUAAGCAUUCAGAAGCCGACGAGGAAGGGAGCUUCCCCACUGCCUGACCAAGCUGCAGCGUGUGGAACUGCAGGAAGCUUUGGUGCUGAGCGUGAGGAUUUGAGUAAGAGCGCUAAGGGGGCUUCCUGUGCUCCAGGAAACAGAACUUCGUCCUAUCUUGUAAAGGAACAAUGUUUCAUGAAAGUAUUUGCACGGUGGGUAUAGGAGAGGGAAGACUGAAGCCCCCCUGG